RNAcentral lists this small RNA (53 nucleotides) under Flavobacterium croceum DSM 17960. Its description in RNAcentral is "Flavo-1 RNA". Lineage: Bacteria; Pseudomonadati; Bacteroidota; Flavobacteriia; Flavobacteriales; Flavobacteriaceae. The record is from RNAcentral.
UUUUAGCCCUGAUUGUAGCAAACUGCCAUGCAGUGCGGAAAGCAGGAAUAUGG